GAGGGUAUAGCUCAGUGGUAGAGUGUGUGCUUAGCAUGCAUGAGGUCCUGGGUUCAAUCCUUGGUAUCGCCA
This 72-nucleotide transfer RNA is filed under the name Camelus bactrianus (Bactrian camel). It matches the Rfam family "tRNA". From Rfam's summary of the family: Transfer RNA (tRNA) molecules are approximately 80 nucleotides in length. Their secondary structure includes four short double-helical elements and three loops (D, anti-codon, and T loops). RNAcentral also lists the same sequence under 1 other name. Lineage: Eukaryota; Metazoa; Chordata; Mammalia; Artiodactyla; Camelidae. The record is from Rfam by way of RNAcentral.